UGGGUGGACUGUGCACUGCACAACUCGGGAGGUACCAUAUACAUUGUCAUCUUUGUUAAUUGUAAACCCUGGAGUUGUGCAGUGUACAGUAUACAC
Molecule: microRNA precursor, 96 nt
Filed under: Marmota monax (woodchuck)
Lineage: Eukaryota; Metazoa; Chordata; Mammalia; Rodentia; Sciuridae
Source: RNAcentral